This 71-nucleotide transfer RNA is filed under the name Phrynosoma platyrhinos (Desert horned lizard). Its description in RNAcentral is "tRNA-OTHER". Lineage: Eukaryota; Metazoa; Chordata; Lepidosauria; Squamata; Phrynosomatidae. The record is from RNAcentral.
GCCAGCAUGGCUUAGUGGUUUGAGCGUUGGACUACAACUCUGGAGACCAUGGUUCGAUUCCCAGCUUGACC